This is a long non-coding RNA of Heterocephalus glaber (naked mole-rat), 375 nucleotides long. The record is from Ensembl. NCBI's taxonomy places the organism in Eukaryota, Metazoa, Chordata, Mammalia, Rodentia, Bathyergidae.
CCUCUUCUCUCCACUGGGACCCAAGUCAUCUGUGGAAGUGGGAUGCUGGGUUGCGGCCAGGUGCAUGUGGCCAGUGCCAUCUGAGGACAGUGAGAAGGCCCUGUCUCUGAUCAGGCCACAGACCUAGGCCUGAUACCAAGCUGCCAGCAACGGGUCCUGCACUCCCAGCCUCCAGAUGCUGGUGCGUGGUAGAAGUGGGUUUUCUGCCCCAUCGAAGCCAGAUGUGCAACCACCGGGUUGAGUGCUUUGCCUGGCUGCCUUCACAGAGCAGAAGGGGACUGAGGCCUCGAAAGCACAAACUGGCCGUCCAUUCUCACUUCUUUAUCCUUAGCAGCUCGCCUGGCAUACAGUAGGAACCUAAUUAUUGAAUCAGCU